UACGUAGGGUGCGAGCGUUGUCCGGAAUUAUUGGGCGUAAAGAGCUCGUAGGCGGUCUGUCGCGUCGAUCGUGAAAACUUGGGGCUUAACCCUGAGCUUGCGGUCGAUACGGGCAUGACUGGAGUUCGGCAGGGGAGACUGGAAUUCCUGGUGUAGCGGUGAAAUGCGUAGAUAUCUGGAGGAACACCGGUGGCGAAGGCGGCAUCCUGGACCGGUAUUGACGCUGAGGCGCGAAAGCCAGGGGAGCAAACGGG
RNAcentral lists this ribosomal RNA (254 nucleotides) under uncultured bacterium. Its description in RNAcentral is "partial 16S ribosomal RNA". It matches the Rfam family "Bacterial small subunit ribosomal RNA", at positions 524 to 776 of the family's 1533-position model. The record is from RNAcentral.